Molecule: unclassified non-coding RNA, 2214 nt
Filed under: Hevea brasiliensis (rubber tree)
Lineage: Eukaryota; Viridiplantae; Streptophyta; Magnoliopsida; Malpighiales; Euphorbiaceae
Source: RNAcentral
GAGAGAGAAAGAGAGAGAGAGAGUUUAUACCUGUUCAAAAAAAUUCUUGUGACAAGAAGGACAAUGAACAGCACCAUGUCGGCAUUAGAUAUAUAAAAAUCAAACUUACACUUCUAACACAGAUGAUGGUUCAUAGCUAACCAAGGAGAACAUAAAACAAAAUAUGAUAAAAGAUCCUGGGAUAAAAGAACUCAACCAAUGCACUGUUGAUCAUUAAGUUCACAAAGUAUGGAAGAAAUAUAGCCUAAAACACAGUAUAGUUUCACCUUGCACUCUGAGCAACCCAUCCAACAAUAACUGCAGGCCAUGCAUAGCCUCGGAUCUGCCAAAAGGGGAAAAAAUCUGUUCCAUUAAAAGUUAUUGAAACAAUGAAAUUAGAGUAUAAUCUACAAUAAUUGACAAGGACAAAUAUCCUUUCAAUUAGUAUAAAAGAAUAAAAUCAAGUAGAUGGUUGUCAUAUCAAUCAAGUAGUUUGAAGAAUUAUAGACAAUCAAUACUCCUGGAAAAGACAUGAAAAAACUAGUAUAUUUGCUCUUCUGGGCCGAACUUACUAUGAUGUAGAGAUGCAUCCAUGGACAAUCUCAACAUUAUAGGUACAAAAAGUUUAAAUGUUGUGCACAUGACAUUUUCUCAACUGGUAGUGAAACAAUUUAACCUGAUAGAUAGCCUAUAUGGCCAAAUAUAUAAGUGUCAAUUUCCAUAUGAUGACCAUGAGGCAUAAGCAAUGAGAAGAAGAAGAUUUCCAUCACCAUAGCUUGCCCACUAAUAAGGCUUUAGUACUGAAGAUAUGCACAUCCAAAUGAUUAUCAAAAAAUAUAAAAACAACAAAGAGAAAUUUGGAAUGCUUCAAUAAUGUUACUGUUUUCUCUUUGGAGAAUUAAUAUUAGGUGUAAAAAAAGAAUUUGGACACACGAAGGACUUAUAAAGACGAGCAUGAACCUGAACAUAUGUAUUUGCUGCAGGUACAAUAUGUACAUUUUUUGGUCCUGUAAAAGCUGAAAGAUACAAGAAAAGCAAAACAACCAUUUGCUUAGUGAUUCAAAUAAUCUAAUGCAUUGUGAAGAAGCACAAAUGACUCACUGGCACACAAGAACAAGAAACUCCAUCUUUCUGCAAUGUGAAAAUAAUGAAAAGCUCUACCAGUCUUUAUUACCAGUUAAUGCCCAUGAACCAAAGUAUCUUGUAAACAAAAACAUCAAGAUGCCGCAAGCCAAACCAACAAAAAGAAGGAUAGAUAUUUGAUGCUGCACUUCAUUAUUAUCCUGCAUGAAUAUUAUAUAGUCACCUAAUGCAGCUCAAAACGUAGUAGAGCAAUUAGUAAGUGAUAAGACAAAUGUCCACCACACAGUUCACAGCACAUAAAAAAAAGGCAUGGCUAGCCUGAAAAAUAGAAAUGGUAAAUGGUGCAGUACUGACAGCAAAAACAAUGAAGUACUGGCAGAGUAGGAACUGGCAACCUCAAGAAAUAAUAAACCUCCGGUCUCAUCCCUGAGCUGUGCAUAUCUUCAUUUUAACUUUUCACAAUUGCAUCCUAAAAAUGUUUUCGCACUUGCAAUGAAGAUUUAAUUAAGCAAUAUCAGUUAACUAACCCGUCUGGCAAGGGAAGUGGCAACCAAAUUUGAAGUGGCAACUGAAAGGAACAUGAACACAUAACUUAUAUAAUCACAAACCACCGUUCCAGGUCCCAAAGCAGCAAGCUCAAUGGAGCUUCCCUGACCGAUAACUGCAGUAUCAAUGAGACUCAUCAACGGCCCACAUAACCAAAGCCCCGUAGCAGGCCCUGUAAACAUCAUAAUCUCCCUCGUUUGGUUCCAUAUAGUCUGAUUCUCAAAUGCCUCUGUUUUAACCUCCGCUUCUAUCUCCUCUCCUUCUUGAAAUGACGAUACGGAAGCAAUUUCACUAUCAUUUUCGCUAUCCAUUUCCCGGUUAUUAUCAACUACAUCUUGGGUCGGGCUAAUGCAAUGGCGCAUAAGUCGAUUUCUGCGAUACUUUGGUGCAGAAAGGUGUACACAUGAAGGAACAUGAUAGCUGUGGGUUUGAUGCGUCAGAAAAUGCAGGGGAGAUUGAGAAUAAUAAUGCCUGAAAUUAGGCUUUUGACGAGAAAUUAGAGGAGGACGAUGAGCUAGGGUUUUGAUUUGCAUUCUUUUGAGCUCCAAAUUUUUUAAUUGAAUUUGAAAGAGGUUCCAGAAAAAGGAGCCAAAUAGAGAAUCGUGG